UGAGGAAUAUUGGUCAAUGGUCGAGAGACUGAACCAGCCAUGCCGCGUGAAGGUCACGGCCCUAUGGGUCUUAAACUUCUUUUGCAAGGGAGCAAUAAGUCCCACGUGUGGGAUGAUGAGAGUACCUUGCGAAUAAGCAUCGGCUAACUCCGUGCCAGCAGCCGCGGUAAUACGGGGGAUGCAAGCGUUAUCCGGAUUUAUUGGGUUUAAAGGGUGCGUAGGCGGUCUGGUAAGUCAGCGGUGAAAUUCAGGGGCUCAACCUCUGCCGUGCCGUUGAUACUGCUGGACUGGAAUGCGGAUGCCGUGGGAGGAAUGUGUGGUGUAGCGGUGAAAUGCAUAGAUAUCACACAGAACACCGAUUGCGAAGGCAUCUCACGAAUCCGCUAUUGACGCUGAGGCACGAAAGCGUGGGGAUCAAACAGG
This 423-nucleotide ribosomal RNA is filed under the name uncultured prokaryote. RNAcentral describes it as "bacterial SSU rRNA". It matches the Rfam family "Bacterial small subunit ribosomal RNA", at positions 355 to 776 of the family's 1533-position model. RNAcentral also lists the same sequence under 1 other name. The record is from RNAcentral.